This 497-nucleotide ribosomal RNA is filed under the name uncultured bacterium. Its description in RNAcentral is "partial 16S ribosomal RNA". It matches the Rfam family "Bacterial small subunit ribosomal RNA", at positions 28 to 507 of the family's 1533-position model. The record is from RNAcentral.
GAUGAACGCUGGCGGCGUGCCUAAUACAUGCAAGUCGAGCGAACAGACGAGGAGCUUGCUCCUUUGACGUUAGCGGCGGACGGGUGAGUAACACGUAGGUAACCUACCUAUAAGACUGGGAUAACUUCGGGAAACCGGAGCUAAUACCGGAUAAUAUUUCGAACCGCAUGGUUCGAUAGUGAAAGAUGGCUUUGCUAUCACUUAUAGAUGGACCUGCGCCGUAUUAGCUAGUUGGUAAGGUAACGGCUUACCAAGGCAACGAUACGUAGCCGACCUGAGAGGAUGAUCAGCCACACUGGAACUGAGACACGGUCCAGACUCCUACGGGAGGCAGCAGUAGGGAAUCUUCCGCAAUGGGCGAAAGCCUGACGGAGCAACGCCGCGUGAGUGAUGAAGGUCUUCGGAUCGUAAAACUCUGUUAUUAGGGAAGAACAAACGUGUAAGUAACUGUGCACGUCUUGACGGUACCUAAUCAGAAAGCCACGGCUAACUACGUG